GGGCCCAUAGCUCAGCGGUAGAGCAGCCGGCUCAUAACCGGUCGGUCCCUGGUUCGAAUCCGGGUGGGCCCACCA
Molecule: transfer RNA, 75 nt
Filed under: bacterium
Lineage: Bacteria
Also listed under: 4 other names
Description: tRNA-Ile
Rfam family: tRNA
About the family: Transfer RNA (tRNA) molecules are approximately 80 nucleotides in length. Their secondary structure includes four short double-helical elements and three loops (D, anti-codon, and T loops).
Source: RNAcentral